AUCCUACGGGGCGCAGCAGUGAGGAAUAUUGGUCAAUGGGCGGGAGCCUGAACCAGCCAAGUCGCGUGAGGGAUGACGGCCCUAUGGGUUGUAAACCUCUUUUGCCGGGGAGCAAAGUGCCGCACGUGUGCGGUUUGGAGAGUACCCGGAGAAAAAGCAUCGGCUAACUCCGUGCCAGCAGCCGCGGUAAUACGGAGGUGGCGAGCGUUAUCCGGAAUGAUUGGGCGUAAAGGGUGCGUAGGCGGCCUGCUAAGUCUGGAGUGAAAGGUACCGGCUCAACCGGUACAGGCUCUGGAACCUGGCGG
RNAcentral lists this ribosomal RNA (305 nucleotides) under uncultured bacterium. RNAcentral's name for it is "bacterial SSU rRNA". It matches the Rfam family "Bacterial small subunit ribosomal RNA", at positions 335 to 639 of the family's 1533-position model. The record is from RNAcentral.